UGAGGAAUAUUGCACAAUGGGCGAAAGCCUGAUGCAGCGACGCCGCGUGGGUGAAGAAGGUUUUCGGAUCGUAAAACCCUUUUCUGUGUGACGAGAGAGGACGGUAGCACAGGAAUAAGUCUCGGCUAACUACGUGCCAGCAGCCGCGGUAAAACGUAGGAGACAAACGUUAUCCGGAGUUACUGGGCGUAAAGGGCGUGCAGGCGGCAGCCUAAGUCUGGCGUGAAAUAUCCCGGCUUAACCGAGAGAGGUCGUCGGAUACUGGGCAGCUAGAGGGCGGUAGAGGCGUGUGGAAUUCCGGGUGUAGUGGUGAAAUGCGUAGAGAUCCGGAGGAACACCAGUGGCGAAGGCGACACGCUGGGCCGCACCUGACGCUAAGACGCGACAGCAGUGGGGAGCGAA
Molecule: ribosomal RNA, 402 nt
Filed under: uncultured bacterium
Lineage: Bacteria
Description: bacterial SSU rRNA
Rfam family: Bacterial small subunit ribosomal RNA
Source: RNAcentral